RNAcentral lists this ribosomal RNA (450 nucleotides) under uncultured Fibrobacter sp. Its description in RNAcentral is "partial 16S ribosomal RNA". It matches the Rfam family "Bacterial small subunit ribosomal RNA", at positions 341 to 792 of the family's 1533-position model. Lineage: Bacteria; Pseudomonadati; Fibrobacterota; Fibrobacteria; Fibrobacterales; Fibrobacteraceae. The record is from RNAcentral.
ACGGGAGGCAGCAGUAGGGAAUAUUGCACAAUGGGGGGAACCCUGAUGCAGCAACGCCACGUGUAGGAAGAAGCAUUUCGGUGUGUAAACCACUGUCGUGAGGGAAUAAUGCUUAAUUUCGGUUAGGUUGAAUGUACCUCGAAAGGAAGCAACGGCCAACUUCGUGCCAGCAGCCGCGGUAAUACGAGGGGUGCAAGCGUUGUUCGGAAUCACUGGGCGUAAAGGGAGCGCAGGCGGAGAUGCAAGCAGUCUGUACAAUACCGGGGCCCAACCCCGGACCGGCAGACUGGACUGUCUCUCUUGGGUAGUUCAGGGCAAGCGGAAUUCCUGGUGUAGCGGUGGAAUGCGUGGAGAUCAGGAAGAACACCGAUGGCGAAGGCAGCUUGCUGGGGACUCAUCGACGCUCAUGCUCGAAAGUGCGGGUAGCAAACAGGAUUAGAUACCCUGGUG